GGUUGAUUAGUGUAGUGGUUAUCACUCCGGAUUCUGAUAUCCAGAAACUGGAAGAUUUCCGGCAACGCCGGUUCGAAUCCGGCAUCGACCU
This is a non-coding RNA of Tulasnella sp. 419, 91 nucleotides long. NCBI's taxonomy places the organism in Eukaryota, Fungi, Basidiomycota, Agaricomycetes, Cantharellales, Tulasnellaceae. The record is from the annotation of a GenBank genome assembly.